CCUUCAAGAAUGUAGUUACCGUCUGCU
This 27-nucleotide non-coding RNA is filed under the name Cricetulus griseus (Chinese hamster). The record is from RNAcentral. Lineage: Eukaryota; Metazoa; Chordata; Mammalia; Rodentia; Cricetidae.